Long non-coding RNA from Neofelis nebulosa (Clouded leopard), 468 nucleotides. RefSeq lists it as uncharacterized. NCBI's taxonomy places the organism in Eukaryota, Metazoa, Chordata, Mammalia, Carnivora, Felidae. The record is from RefSeq and is a predicted model, not a curated record. The transcript has 3 exons.
GAGGAGCGAGGGAGCCGGGACCCAGAGGGGAAUGAGUCCGGCGGUGGGGGCGGCGGUGGAGGCCGCAGGGUGGCGCGACCACGACGACUGUGACCAGGGCGUGAGGCGUGGGCGGCCUCGGGCUCUGGGUCCCAGCCCGACUGAGAGCUGGUUGCGCGCGAGGAGCCGGCGUCAGGCGGCAGAGCCCGAGGCCCAGGCCGCCCAGGGAGUCCGGAUGGGGACGAGAGGACAGGGCUGAGGGACCCCAAGGAACCCAUGGGCUCGGAGAGCUCUGGAGUUGAGGCCUUGGUCUGAGGCAGGAGUCCCGAGGUCACAGAGCAGAGGAGGCGCGGCCGCGUGCCAGUCGGUUGUCCAGGCGAGGGUCUGGCGACCAUCAUGCCCCUGUGUCAGAUGAGUGAGCUCUGCAAGGCCGAGGAGGAGCCCAGACAGGCCCCGCUGCCAUGGGAUGUACCGCUGUGGGAGGCGGAG